Molecule: ribosomal RNA, 462 nt
Filed under: uncultured bacterium
Lineage: Bacteria
Description: partial 16S ribosomal RNA
Rfam family: Bacterial small subunit ribosomal RNA
Source: RNAcentral
GACGAACGCUGGCGGCGUGCUUAACACAUGCAAGUCGAACGGUGAACCUCUUCGGAGGGGAUCAGUGGCGAACGGGUGAGUAACACGUUGGCAACCUGCCCCCGGCUCUGUGAUAACUCCAAGAAAUUGGGGCUAAUACCGGAUGUUCACCGCUUCCCUCGUGGGUGGUGGUGAAAAGGUCGUCCGGCUGGGGGUGGGCCCGCGGCCUAUCAGCUGGUUGGUGGGGUAGUGGCCUACCACGGAGAAGACGGGUAGCCGGCCUGAGAGGGUGACCGGCCACCAGGGGACUGCGACACGGAGCAGACGCCGACGGGAGGCAGUAGGCGGGAGUCUUGCGCAACGAGCGGACGUGUGACGUAGAGACGCCGCGUGGGGGAUGACGGCCUUCGGGUUGUAAACAUAUUUGAGCAGGGACGAAGCGGAAGUGACGGUACCUGCAGAAGAAGCACCGGCCAACUACGU